This 200-nucleotide long non-coding RNA is filed under the name Gossypium barbadense (sea-island cotton). RNAcentral's name for it is "long non-coding RNA (GBAR_LNC011326)". The record is from RNAcentral. Lineage: Eukaryota; Viridiplantae; Streptophyta; Magnoliopsida; Malvales; Malvaceae.
UAGAUAUGCAGCAUUAGAAAGAAAGGGGGGGGGGAUCCAAGUAAAUUUUUGCAAAAAAGGGAAACAAUAAAACCUCCAUUAAGUUGAGAGUUCACACACAACAAAACAACAAUCAGAUCUUCUGAGAUUUCAAUAGACUAUUAGUUUCAAGACGUCACACACACAUAAAAGAACAAAAAUUAAUUGGAACAAAAUGUAAG